RNAcentral lists this ribosomal RNA (254 nucleotides) under uncultured bacterium. RNAcentral's name for it is "partial 16S ribosomal RNA". It matches the Rfam family "Bacterial small subunit ribosomal RNA", at positions 524 to 776 of the family's 1533-position model. The record is from RNAcentral.
UACGUAGGGUGCGAGCGUUGUCCGGAAUUAUUGGGCGUAAAGAGCUCGUAGGCGGUCUGUCGCGUCGGUCGUGAAAACUCCGGGCUCAACCCGGAGACGCCACCCGAUACUGUCGUGACUGGAGUCCGGUAGGGGAGUGGGGAAUUCCUGGUGUAGCGGUGAAAUGCGCAGAUAUCAGGAGGAACACCGGUGGCGAAGGCGCCACUCUGGGCCGGUACUGACGCUGAGGAGCGAAAGCGUGGGGAGCAAACAGG